RNAcentral lists this ribosomal RNA (495 nucleotides) under uncultured bacterium. RNAcentral describes it as "partial 16S ribosomal RNA". It matches the Rfam family "Bacterial small subunit ribosomal RNA", at positions 28 to 507 of the family's 1533-position model. The record is from RNAcentral.
GACGAACGCUGGCGGCGUGCCUAAUACAUGCAAGUAGAACGCUGAAGGAGGAGCUUGCUCUUCUGGAUGAGUUGCGAACGGGUGAGUAACGCGUAGGUAACCUGCCUGGUAGCGGGGGAUAACUAUUGGAAACGAUAGCUAAUACCGCAUAACAGUAGAUGUUGCAUGACAUUUGCUUAAAAGGUGCAAUUGCACCACUACCAGAUGGACCUGCGUUGUAUUAGCUAGUUGGUGGGGUAACGGCUCACCAAGGCGACGAUACAUAGCCGACCUGAGAGGGGGAUCGGCCACGCUGGGACGGGGACACGGCCCAGACUCCUGCGAGAGGCAGCAGUAGGGGAUCUUUGGCAAUGGACGGAAGGCUGACCGAGCAACGCCGCGUGAGUGAAGGAGGUUGUCAGAUCGUAAAAGUCUGUUAUGAGAGAAGAACGAGUAUGAGAGUGAAAAGUUCACACUGUGACGGUAUCUUACCAGAAAGGGACGGCUAACUACGUG